ACCACACUGGACAAACGACGCGACUGCGGGUGGGAAGUGUGCCCACGUCGUUUCCAGCUUUUCCGCCUCAUCUGCAGAAACCUGUCAAACAGAAGCGUCCCGACCCCAAGUCUCGAGAUUUCCCGGCCCCGCUUGGUCCUGAGUGUUCUGGGUUGUGCGACCUGCCUGGAGCUGAAUAUUUUCCUGAAGACUCGCCAACCAAACAGUUCUACAAAGACAAGGUCCUUUCCUCACAAGAAGAGAUAACCCAGUUGAAGAAGAAGGUCAAAACACUGCAGCAAA
Rhipicephalus microplus (southern cattle tick) is the source of this 282-nucleotide long non-coding RNA. The record is from RefSeq and is a predicted model, not a curated record. NCBI's taxonomy places the organism in Eukaryota, Metazoa, Arthropoda, Arachnida, Ixodida, Ixodidae.